UGCAAGUCGAACGAACUCUGGUAUUGAUUGGUGCUUGCAUCAUGAUUUACAUUUGAGUGAGUGGCGAACUGGUGAGUAACACGUGGGAAACCUGCCCAGAAGCGGGGGAUAACACCUGGAAACAGAUGCUAAUACCGCAUAACAACUUGGACCGCAUGGUCCGAGUUUGAAAGAUGGCUUCGGCUAUCACUUUUGGAUGGUCCCGCGGCGUAUUAGCUAGAUGGUGGGGUAACGGCUCACCAUGGCAAUGAUACGUAGCCGACCUGAGAGGGUAAUCGGCCACAUUGGGACUGAGACACGGCCCAAACUCCUACGGGAGGCAGCAGUAGGGAAUCUUCCACAAUGGACGAAAGUCUGAUGGAGCAACGCCGCGUGAGUGAAGAAGGGUUUCGGCUCGUAAAACUCUGUUGUUGAAGAAGAACAUAUCUGAGAGUAACUGUUCAGGUAUUGACGGUAUUUAACCAGAAAGCCACGGCUAACUACGUGCCAGCAGCCGCGGUAAUACGUAGGUGGCAAGCGUUGUCCGGAUUUAUUGGGCGUAAAGCGAGCGCAGGCGGUUUUUUAAGUCUGAUGUGAAAGCCUUCGGCUCAACCGAAGAAGUGCAUCGGAAACUGGGAAACUUGAGUGCAGAAGAGGACAGUGGAACUCCAUGUGUAGCGGUGAAAUGCGUAGAUAUAUGGAAGAACACCAGUGGCGAAGGCGGCUGUCUGGUCUGUAACUGACGCUGAGGCUCGAAAGUAUGGGUAGCAAACAGGAUUAGAUACCCUGGUAGUCCAUACCGUAAACGAUGAAUGCUAAGUGUUGGAGGGUUUCCGCCCUUCAGUGCUGCAGCUAACGCAUUAAGCAUUCCGCCUGGGGAGUACGGCCGCAAGGCUGAAACUCAAAGGAAUUGACGGGGGCCCGCACAAGCGGUGGAGCAUGUGGUUUAAUUCGAAGCUACGCGAAGAACCUUACCAGGUCUUGACAUACUAUGCAAAUCUAAGAGAUUAGACGUUCCCUUCGGGGACAUGGAUACAGGUGGUGCAUGGUUGUCGUCAGCUCGUGUCGUGAGAUGUUGGGUUAAGUCCCGCAACGAGCGCAACCCUUAUUAUCAGUUGCCAGCAUUAAGUUGGGCACUCUGGUGAGACUGCCGGUGACAAACCGGAGGAAGGUGGGGAUGACGUCAAAUCAUCAUGCCCCUUAUGACCUGGGCUACACACGUGCUACAAUGGAUGGUACAACGAGUUGCGAACUCGCGAGAGUAAGCUAAUCUCUUAAAGCCAUUCUCAGUUCGGAUUGUAGGCUGCAACUCGCCUACAUGAAGUCGGAAUCGCUAGUAAUCGCGGAUCAGCAUGCCGCGGUGAAUACGUUCCCGGGCCUUGUACACACCGCCCGUCACACCAUGAGAGUUUGUAACACCCAAAGUCGGUGGGGUAACCUUUUAGGAACCAGCCGCCUAA
Molecule: ribosomal RNA, 1439 nt
Filed under: Lactiplantibacillus plantarum
Lineage: Bacteria; Bacillati; Bacillota; Bacilli; Lactobacillales; Lactobacillaceae
Description: bacterial SSU rRNA
Rfam family: Bacterial small subunit ribosomal RNA
Source: RNAcentral